GACGAACGCUGGCGGCGUGCUUAACACAUGCAAGUCGAACGGAAAGGCCCUGCUUUUGUGGGGUGCUCGAGUGGCGAACGGGUGAGUAACACGUGAGUAACCUGCCCUUGACUUUGGGAUAACUUCAGGAAACUGGGGCUAAUACCGGAUAGGAGCUCCUGCUGCAUGGUGGGGGUUGGAAAGUUUCGGCGGUUGGGGAUGGACUCGCGGCUUAUCAGCUUGUUGGUGGGGUAGUGGCUUACCAAGGCUUUGACGGGUAGCCGGCCUGAGAGGGUGACCGGCCACAUUGGGACUGAGAUACGGCCCAGACUCCUACGGGAGGCAGCAGUGGGGAAUAUUGCACAAUGGGCGGAAGCCUGAUGCAACAACGCCGCGUGCGGGAUGACGGCCUUCGGGUUGUAAACCGCUUUCGCCUGUGACGAAGCGUGAGUGACGGUAAUGGGUAAAGAAGCACCGGCUAACUACGUGCCAGCAGCCGCGGUGAUACGUAGGGUGCGAGCGUUGUCCGGAUUUAUUGGGCGUAAAGGGCUCGUAGGUGGUUGAUCGCGUCGGAAGUGUAAUCUUGGGGCUUAACCCUGAGCGUGCUUUCGAUACGGGUUGACUUGAGGAAGGUAGGGGAGAAUGGAAUUCCUGGUGGAGCGGUGGAAUGCGCAGAUAUCAGGAGGAACACCAGUGGCGAAGGCGGUUCUCUGGGCCUUUCCUGACGCUGAGGAGCGAAAGCGUGGGGAGCGAACAGGCUUAGAUACCCUGGUAGUCCACGCUGUAAACGGUGGGUACUAGGUGUGGGGUCCAUUCCACGGGUUCCGUGCCGUAGCUAACGCUUUAAGUACCCCGCCUGGGGAGUACGGCCGCAAGGCUAAAACUCAAAGGAAUUGACGGGGCCCCGCACAAGCGGCGGAGCAUGCGGAUUAAUUCGAUGCAACGCGUAGAACCUUACCUGGGUUUGACAUGGAUCGGGAGCGCUCAGAGAUGGGUGUGCCUCUUUUGGGGUCGGUUCACAGGUGGUGCAUGGCUGUCGUCAGCUCGUGUCGUGAGAUGUUGGGUUAAGUCCCGCAACGAGCGCAACCCUUGUUCACUGUUGCCAGCACGUUAUGGUGGGGACUCAGUGGAGACCGCCGGGGUCAACUCGGAGGAAGGUGGGGAUGACGUCAAGUCAUCAUGCCCCUUAUGUCCAGGGCUUCACGCAUGCUACAAUGGCUGGUACAGAGAGUGGCGAGCCUGUGAGGGUGAGCGAAUCUCGGAAAGCCGGUCUCAGUUCGGAUUGGGGUCUGCAACUCGACCUCAUGAAGUCGGAGUCGCUAGUAAUCGCAGAUCAGCAACGCUGCGGUGAAUACGUUCCCGGGGCU
RNAcentral lists this ribosomal RNA (1346 nucleotides) under uncultured bacterium. Its description in RNAcentral is "bacterial SSU rRNA". It matches the Rfam family "Bacterial small subunit ribosomal RNA", at positions 28 to 1381 of the family's 1533-position model. The record is from RNAcentral.